GGAUGUGGAAGGUUUUUAGAAGAUGAAUAAAAUUUAAAAAAAAAUUAAAAAAAUAUAAUUUUAAGUUAAAUUAUAGGGAUGGAAAUAAUGAUACGGAUGUGAGUCCUCUAAGAAGCCCGGAUCUGCAAAAUCUAGCUCACCCACAACCCUCCCUUGGAAUUUCAGAUCCCCCACCCGAAAAAGCCUGUAACUUGAGCCAAAUGGCGAAACUGGAAGCGCUAGACGAAUCCAAGGACGAGAAGACCACCGCCAUCCACAAGGGCAAGCACAAGAAGUGGAAUCACGGAUCAACGAAAUUAUUUGUCUUCAUUGAUUACCUUUUCCUCCUCGUAUUCUUCGGGUUUCUCAGCUUCAUUCUUUUCAAGAUUGUUGGCAUUUGAUUCCUAACGAAGUCCCAUAUUUCCUUGAGCCAGGGAAAGUUAUGGGCACAUCUAGGUUCCAGUGUUAGAUUGAGUUCCAAGCUUGAAGGCACUUGCAGGUGUUGUUGCUUUGGUCAGAUUGAGACCUUGCGACUUAUUUUUUGAUUAGUAGAUUAUGUGAUUUAUUUAUGAUGCCUUUCUUGAUGUUGAGGAAUCUUGUGCCCUUGUGAUCAAAGAAGUUUUGAUACCUUCUUUUUAUUCCAUCUCUUCCCGGCCCGCAUUUUAUGAUGGAUAGAAUUAGGAAUGAAAUUGCUUAUUGACAUUAUACAUGAGAUCUAGUUUCCUUAUGAAGUUCUAUCCAUUUUCUGUAUUUGAUUGUGGGCAUUUAUAUUAUUGAGAGUAACAAUAAAAAAAAGUUUGAAUGCUGAAA
Long non-coding RNA from Carya illinoinensis, 789 nucleotides. RefSeq lists it as uncharacterized. Lineage: Eukaryota; Viridiplantae; Streptophyta; Magnoliopsida; Fagales; Juglandaceae. The transcript has 2 exons. The record is from RefSeq and is a predicted model, not a curated record.